GAGUUUGAUCCUGGCUCAGAACGAACGCUGGCGGCGUGGAUAAGACAUGCAAGUCGAACGCUGGCUUGUCGGUAGCAAUAUUGGCAAGUUGGAGUGGCGCAAGGGUGCUUAACACGUGGGCAAUCUGCCGUGAAGCCUGGAAUAACUCGCUGAAAGGCGAGCUAAUGCCGGAUGUGAAAGUCGGGAGGCAUCUCCCGGUUUUCAAAGCUGGGGACCGCAAGGCCUGGCACUUCACGAUGAGCCCGCGGCCUAUCAGCUAGUUGGUGAGGUAACGGCCCACCAAGGCUAAGACGGGUAGCUGGUCUGAGGGGACGACCAGCCACACUGGAACUGAGACACGGUCCAGACACCUACGGGUGGCAGCAGUCGAGAAUUUUUCUCAAUGGGCGAAAGCCUGAAGGAGCGACGCCGCGUGGGGGAUGAAUGGCUUCGGCCCGUAAACCCCUGUCAUUUGCGAACAAAUUGGUUCAAUUAACACCUGAACCAUUGAUAGUAGCGGAAGAGGAAGGGACGGCUAACUCUGUGCCAGCAGCCGCGGUAAUACAGAGGUCCCAAGCGUUGUUCGGAUUCACUGGGCGUAAAGGGUGCGUAGGCGGUCGGGUAAGUCUGAUGUGAAAUCCCGCAGCUUAACUGCGGAACGGCAUUGGACACUAUUCGGCUGGAGGAAUGGAGGGGAGACUGGAAUUCUCGGUGUAGCAGUGAAAUGCGUAGAUAUCGAGAGGAACACCAGUGGCGAAGGCGAGUCUCUGG
This 750-nucleotide ribosomal RNA is filed under the name uncultured bacterium. RNAcentral describes it as "bacterial SSU rRNA". It matches the Rfam family "Bacterial small subunit ribosomal RNA", at positions 9 to 732 of the family's 1533-position model. The record is from RNAcentral.